CCGUAACUAUAACGGUCCUAAGGUAGCGAAAUUCCUUGUCGGGUAAGUUCCGACCCGCACGAAAGGCGCAACGAUCUGGGCACUGUCUCAACGAGAGACUCGGUGAAAUUAUAGUACCUGUGAAGAUGCAGGUUACCCGCGACAGGACGGAAAGACCCCGUGGAGCUUUACUGCAACCUGAUAUGGAAUGUUUGUACCGCUUGUACAGGAUAGGUAGGAGCCGAAGAGACGUGUGCGCUAGCAUACGAGGAGGCAAUGGUGGGAUACUACCCUGGCUGUAUGACCAUUCUAACCCGCCACGCUUAGCGCGUGGGGAGACAGUGUCAGGUGGGCAGUUUGACUGGGGCGGUCGCCUCCUAAAGAGUAACGGAGGCGCCCAAAGGUUCCCUCAGAAUGGAUGGAAAUCAUUCGCAGAGUGUAAAGGCACAAGGGAGCUUGACUGCGAGACUGACAAGUCGAGCAGGGACGAAAGUCGGGCUUAGUGAUCCGGUGGUUCCGCAUGGAAGGGCCAUCGCUCAACGGAUAAAAGCUACCCCGGGGAUAACAGGCUUAUCUCCCCCAAGAGUCCACAUCGACGGGGAGGUUUGGCACCUCGAUGUCGGCUCGUCGCAUCCUGGGGCUGUAGUCGGUCCCAAGGGUUGGGCUGUUCGCCCAUUAAAGCGGCACGCGAGCUGGGUUCAGAACGUCGUGAGACAGUUCGGUCCCUAUCCGUCGCGGGCGCAGGAAAUUUGAGAGGAGCUGUCCUUAGUACGAGAGGACCGGGAUGGACACACCGCUGGUGUACCAGUUGUUCCGCCAGGAGCAUCGCUGGGUAGCUAUGUGUGGCAGGGAUAAACGCUGAAAGCAUCUAAGCGUGAAGCCCCCCUCAAGAUGAGAUUUCCCAUUUCUUCGGAAAGUAAGAUCCCUGAAAGAUGAUCAGGUAGAUAGGUUUGGAGUGGAAGUGUAGCGAUACAUGGAGCGGACAAAUACUAAUCGAUCGAGGACUUAACCAAAAA
Molecule: ribosomal RNA, 995 nt
Filed under: Escherichia coli
Lineage: Bacteria; Pseudomonadati; Pseudomonadota; Gammaproteobacteria; Enterobacterales; Enterobacteriaceae
Description: partial 23S ribosomal RNA
Rfam family: Bacterial large subunit ribosomal RNA
Source: RNAcentral